RNAcentral lists this ribosomal RNA (1437 nucleotides) under Lactiplantibacillus plantarum. Its description in RNAcentral is "bacterial SSU rRNA". It matches the Rfam family "Bacterial small subunit ribosomal RNA". The record is from RNAcentral. Lineage: Bacteria; Bacillati; Bacillota; Bacilli; Lactobacillales; Lactobacillaceae.
AUUGAUUGGUGCUUGCAUCAUGAUUUACAUUUGAGUGAGUGGCGAACUGGUGAGUAACACGUGGGAAACCUGCCCAGAAGCGGGGGAUAACACCUGGAAACAGAUGCUAAUACCGCAUAACAACUUGGACCGCAUGGUCCGAGCUUGAAAGAUGGCUUCGGCUAUCACUUUUGGAUGGUCCCGCGGCGUAUUAGCUAGAUGGUGGGGUAACGGCUCACCAUGGCAAUGAUACGUAGCCGACCUGAGAGGGUAAUCGGCCACAUUGGGACUGAGACACGGCCCAAACUCCUACGGGAGGCAGCAGUAGGGAAUCUUCCACAAUGGACGAAAGUCUGAUGGAGCAACGCCGCGUGAGUGAAGAAGGGUUUCGGCUCGUAAAACUCUGUUGUUAAAGAAGAACAUAUCUGAGAGUAACUGUUCAGGUAUUGACGGUAUUUAACCAGAAAGCCACGGCUAACUACGUGCCAGCAGCCGCGGUAAUACGUAGGUGGCAAGCGUUGUCCGGAUUUAUUGGGCGUAAAGCGAGCGCAGGCGGUUUUUUAAGUCUGAUGUGAAAGCCUUCGGCUCAACCGAAGAAGUGCAUCGGAAACUGGGAAACUUGAGUGCAGAAGAGGACAGUGGAACUCCAUGUGUAGCGGUGAAAUGCGUAGAUAUAUGGAAGAACACCAGUGGCGAAGGCGGCUGUCUGGUCUGUAACUGACGCUGAGGCUCGAAAGUAUGGGUAGCAAACAGGAUUAGAUACCCUGGUAGUCCAUACCGUAAACGAUGAAUGCUAAGUGUUGGAGGGUUUCCGCCCUUCAGUGCUGCAGCUAACGCAUUAAGCAUUCCGCCUGGGGAGUACGGCCGCAAGGCUGAAACUCAAAGGAAUUGACGGGGGCCCGCACAAGCGGUGGAGCAUGUGGUUUAAUUCGAAGCUACGCGAAGAACCUUACCAGGUCUUGACAUACUAUGCAAAUCUAAGAGAUUAGACGUUCCCUUCGGGGACAUGGAUACAGGUGGUGCAUGGUUGUCGUCAGCUCGUGUCGUGAGAUGUUGGGUUAAGUCCCGCAACGAGCGCAACCCUUAUUAUCAGUUGCCAGCAUUAAGUUGGGCACUCUGGUGAGACUGCCGGUGACAAACCGGAGGAAGGUGGGGAUGACGUCAAAUCAUCAUGCCCCUUAUGACCUGGGCUACACACGUGCUACAAUGGAUGGUACAACGAGUUGCGAACUCGCGAGAGUAAGCUAAUCUCUUAAAGCCAUUCUCAGUUCGGAUUGUAGGCUGCAACUCGCCUACAUGAAGUCGGAAUCGCUAGUAAUCGCGGAUCAGCAUGCCGCGGUGAAUACGUUCCCGGGCCUUGUACACACCGCCCGUCACACCAUGAGAGUUUGUAACACCCAAAGUCGGUGGGGUAACCUUUUAGGAACCAGCCGCCUAAGGUGGGACAGAUGAUUAGGG